UACGUAGGAAGCGAGCGUUGUCCGGAUUUACUGGGCGUAAAGGGCGUGUAGGCGGAGCGGCGCAUCCUGGAGUAAAUCUAUCGGCUCAACUGAUAGGCUUUCUAGGAGAUGGCCGCCCUUGAGGACAGCAGAGGAAAGUGGAAUUCCCGGUGUAGCGGUGAAAUGCGCAGAUAUCAGGAGGAACACCGGUGGCGAAGGCGGAUCUCUGGGCCAUUACUGACGCUGAGGAGCGAAAGCGUGGGGGAGCGAACAGG
This 254-nucleotide ribosomal RNA is filed under the name uncultured bacterium. RNAcentral describes it as "partial 16S ribosomal RNA". It matches the Rfam family "Bacterial small subunit ribosomal RNA", at positions 524 to 776 of the family's 1533-position model. The record is from RNAcentral.